RNAcentral lists this ribosomal RNA (445 nucleotides) under uncultured Pseudomonas sp. RNAcentral describes it as "bacterial SSU rRNA". It matches the Rfam family "Bacterial small subunit ribosomal RNA", at positions 937 to 1382 of the family's 1533-position model. The record is from RNAcentral. Lineage: Bacteria; Pseudomonadati; Pseudomonadota; Gammaproteobacteria; Pseudomonadales; Pseudomonadaceae.
GCAUGUGGUUAAUUCGAAGCAACGCGAAGAACCUUACCAGGCCUUGACAUGCAGAGAACUUCCAGAGAUGGAUUGGUGCCUUCGGGAACUCUGACACAGGUGCUGCAUGGCUGUCGUCAGCUCGUGUCGUGAGAUGUUGGGUUAAGUCCCGUAACGAGCGCAACCCUUGUCCUUAGUUACCAGCACGUUAUGGUGGGCACUCUAAGGAGACUGCCGGUGACAAACCGGAGGAAGGUGGGGGAUGACGUCAAGUCAUCAUGGCCCUUACGGCCUGGGCUACACACGUGCUACAAUGGUCGGUACAAAGGGUUGCCAAGCCGCGAGGUGGAGCUAAUCCCAUAAAACCGAUCGUAGUCCGGAUCGCAGUCUGCAACUCGACUGCGUGAAGUCGGAAUCGCUAGUAAUCGUGAAUCAGAAUGUCACGGUGAAUACGUUCCCGGGCCUU